AUCGAACGCUGGCGGCAGGCCUAACACAUGCAAGUCGAGCGGAGAGGCGGACGGGUGAGUAAUCUAGGGGGAUCUGCCUGGUAGUGGGGGAUAAGGUACGGAAACGGGCGCUAAUAACGCAUAAUAUAAGCUGCGCCGAGGUCGGAUAAGCUAUGUGGCGGGGUAAAGGCCUACCAAGGCAACGCUCCGUAACUGGUCUGAGAGGAUGAUCAGUCACACUGUAACUGAGACACGGUCCAGACUCCUACGGUAGGCAGCAGUGGGGAAUAUUGGACAAUGGGGGCAAGCCUGAUGCAGCCAUGCCGCGUGUAUGAAGAAGGCCUUCGGGUUGUAAAGUACUGUCAGUCGGGAGGCGUUACCGACAGAAGAAGCACCGGCUAACUCCGUGCCAGCAGCCGCGGUAAUUC
RNAcentral lists this ribosomal RNA (407 nucleotides) under uncultured bacterium. Its description in RNAcentral is "partial 16S ribosomal RNA". It matches the Rfam family "Bacterial small subunit ribosomal RNA", at positions 30 to 526 of the family's 1533-position model. The record is from RNAcentral.